UGCGUAGGCGGGCUAAUAAGUCAGUGGUGAAAUCUUUCGGCUCAACCGAGAAACUGCCAUUGAUACUGUUAGUCUUGAGUUCGGUUGAGGUAGGCGGAAUGUGUAAUGUAGCGGUGAAAUGCUUAGAUAUUACACAGAACACCAAUUGCGUAGGCAGCUUACUAGACCGACACUGACGCUGAGGAACGAAAGCGUGGGGAGCGAACAGGAUUAGAUACCCUGGUAGUCC
This 229-nucleotide ribosomal RNA is filed under the name uncultured bacterium. RNAcentral's name for it is "partial 16S ribosomal RNA". It matches the Rfam family "Bacterial small subunit ribosomal RNA", at positions 568 to 796 of the family's 1533-position model. The record is from RNAcentral.